This 55-nucleotide small nuclear RNA is filed under the name Mus musculus (house mouse). Its description in RNAcentral is "predicted gene, 56305 (ENSMUSG00002075752.1)". The record is from RNAcentral. Lineage: Eukaryota; Metazoa; Chordata; Mammalia; Rodentia; Muridae.
AUGCUCACUUUGGCAGCACAUAUACUAAAAUUGGAACAAUACAGAGAAGACUAGC